This 301-nucleotide ribosomal RNA is filed under the name uncultured bacterium. Its description in RNAcentral is "partial 16S ribosomal RNA". It matches the Rfam family "Bacterial small subunit ribosomal RNA", at positions 509 to 808 of the family's 1533-position model. The record is from RNAcentral.
CAGUAGCCGCGGGAAUACGUAGGUCCCGAGCGUUGUCCGGAUUUAUUGGGCGUAAAGCGAGCGCAGGCGGUUAGAUAAGUCUGAAGUUAAAGGCUGUGGCUUAACCAUAGUACGCUUUGGAAACUGUUUAACUUGAGUGCAAGAGGGGAGAGUGGAAUUCCAUGUGUAGCGGUGAAAUGCGUAGAUAUAUGGAGGAACACCGGUGGUGAAAGCGGCUCUCUGGCUUGUAACUGACGCUGAGGCUCGAAAGCGUGGGGAGCAAACAGGAUUAGAUACCCGGGUAGUCCCUGUCUCUUAUACA